UUUGUGUCUGAGUCCUUCAUGAAAGUUAUAGGUCUACUUCUUAGCUUUCCAACCCAUCCUCUUGUGUCCAAUUUGGAUAUAUAUAGUUCAACUUAUGGCUGAAAAACCCAAACUGACUCUGUUAUGACGGGCUACAUGCAUCACUGAAUUGAGUGCCCAUUUUGACCACUAUAAUGGUAAUAUUAUGUUCUGAGUUCUUCAUAACAGUUGUUUCCCUGUGUCUUGAGACUUCUCUGGUUUUGGAUUGGUUUGAUUUGAGUGUCUGGAUAAGUAGGAAUUGGAUAAACAUUGGAAUUAGUGCUGCUGAAUCAGGUCUGGACUAUUGGUCUGUGUUGGUGUUGGAUUGGUUUAAUUUCAGUGUCUGGUUACGGAGAAAUUCAAUAAACAUUGGACUUGGUUCUGCUGAAUCCGGUCUGGACUAUCAGUCUGUGUUCCUAGCUUAUUUUGCCUAUCUUGCAGAUUUAUCUGGGUUAUGGUCCCUUCAUAACAUUUGUAGUAUUUUGUCUUAGCUUUCUAAUGAAUCAAACAUCACUCAAUUUGGAGACACAGAACUUAAGUUAUGUCUUAAAAACCCAGCAAAGGUCAAGAUUAUAUUAAUGCUGGAAAUUUUCUAUGUCCUAAAUCAAAGGGUUAUUUGGAUAAAAGUAUGUAUAAAUCAUGUGUGAUGAAGUGCUCUUGAUUAUUUGUAUGUUUUAGAAUUUAUUUGACAAAAAUAAAACAUAAGUGUGAGAAGGGUUGUUGUGG
This 744-nucleotide long non-coding RNA is filed under the name Jatropha curcas. RNAcentral's name for it is "long non-coding RNA (JCUR_LNC000390)". Lineage: Eukaryota; Viridiplantae; Streptophyta; Magnoliopsida; Malpighiales; Euphorbiaceae. The record is from RNAcentral.